AGCAGCCGCGGUAAUUCCAGCUCCAAUAGCGUAUAUUAAAGUUGUUGCAGUUAAAAAGCUCGUAGUUGAAUUUCGGGGUUCUACCGUUGGUCGGGCUUUGUCUGUACUGGCGUGUAGAAUUUCUACCUUUUGGGGAACCAUCAUGUUAUUAAUUUAACGUGGCGGGAAACCAGGACCUUUACCUUGAAAAAAUUAGAGUGUUCAAAGCAGGCUUAUGUCUGAAUACAUUAGCAUGGAAUAAUAAAAUAGGACGGUGGUUCUGUUUUGUUGGUUUCUGAAUCACCGUAAUGAUUAAUAGGGAUAGUUGGGGGCAUUAGUAUUCAAUUGUCAGAGGUGAAAUUCUUGGAUUUAU
Molecule: ribosomal RNA, 352 nt
Filed under: uncultured Racocetra
Lineage: Eukaryota; Fungi; Glomeromycota; Glomeromycetes; Diversisporales; Gigasporaceae
Description: SSU rRNA
Rfam family: Eukaryotic small subunit ribosomal RNA
Source: RNAcentral